CCUACGGGAGGCAGCAGUGGGGAAUAUUGGGCAAUGGGCGCAAGCCUGACCCAGCAACGCCGCGUGAAGGAAGAAGGCUUUCGGGUUGUAAACUUCUUUUGUCAGGGAAGAGUAGAAGACGGUACCUGCCGAAUAAGCCACGGCUAAAUAAGUGCCAGCAGCCGAGGUAAUACGUAGGUGGCAAGCUUUGUCCGGAUUUACUGGGUGUAAAGGGCGUGUAGCCGGGUUGACUAGUCAGAUGUGAAAUCCUGCGGCUUAACCGCAGAACUGCAUUUGAAACUGUUGGUCUUGAGUACUGGAGAGGCAGACGGAAUGCCUGGUGUAGCGGUGAAAUGCGUAGAUAUUAGGAGGAACACCAGUGGCGAAGGCGGUCUGCUGGACAGCAACUGACGGUGAGGCGCGAAAGCGUGGGGAGCAAACAGGAUUAGAUACCCUGGUAGUC
RNAcentral lists this ribosomal RNA (442 nucleotides) under uncultured bacterium. RNAcentral describes it as "partial 16S ribosomal RNA". It matches the Rfam family "Bacterial small subunit ribosomal RNA", at positions 338 to 795 of the family's 1533-position model. The record is from RNAcentral.